Numida meleagris (helmeted guineafowl) is the source of this 705-nucleotide long non-coding RNA. RefSeq lists it as uncharacterized. Lineage: Eukaryota; Metazoa; Chordata; Aves; Galliformes; Numididae. The record is from RefSeq and is a predicted model, not a curated record. The transcript has 3 exons.
GGACUCCAGAGCAAGGAGAAGAGCUGUGCAGUUGGGAUCCCGACACCGUGCAGAUUCUCCAGGACUGGCACUGAGCCCUAGUGCUCCCAGCAUUGGCACUCAGCUCUUCUUCCCACACCUCUGAGAGUAAUGAGUGGCUCUUCAUCAACAAUGAUUUUCUCCUGGAAGCCAUGCUAAGAAUUCAUAAGGCCUGGAAAGGACAAAGCAUCAACAUUGCCCAUUGACCUAAGAAUAUGUGGAAACAUCAUUUCAGACUGUGAAAGCUAAGUUUUGUAAAACAAGUUUAAACCCUGUGCUGGCUCCAGCUGUUGGACAGGAAGUGAAAUUGUGCUAAAGCAAAACAGCAGCCACCCCUAUAGACAUAAGAGUUUGGUCCAUUUCCAGUUUUUUAUUGCUACUGUCUAGACUGAAAUUAUUUGUAGAGCUAAGCUACUGAGCAGUGUUUGAAUGUUGAUUUUACAAUUGUGUUAUUUCGAGCUGUUAUUUUGUUUGUACAAAGUGGCAUUCAGUAAACGGAUAUUGAGCUUUAUACUGUUAUUAGAUCCAUUCAUAACAGCAAUAUUCCUGGUGAAUACAUUACAGCUGAACAUUCAUGUACUGCUUUACAUCUUGUGAUUCACACUAAAAAGUGAUAUGAAAACCUCCCAGCUGGAGUCUCUGCUCCAAAUGAUAGGUUAUAAAGAAGUCUUAGCACUGAGUACAGAA